RNAcentral lists this microRNA (22 nucleotides) under Macaca fascicularis (crab-eating macaque). Its description in RNAcentral is "novel_miR90-3p". Lineage: Eukaryota; Metazoa; Chordata; Mammalia; Primates; Cercopithecidae. The record is from RNAcentral.
UAGCUCCGGUCCCUUCUCCAAC